Molecule: ribosomal RNA, 253 nt
Filed under: uncultured bacterium
Lineage: Bacteria
Description: partial 16S ribosomal RNA
Rfam family: Bacterial small subunit ribosomal RNA
Source: RNAcentral
UACGUAGGGUGCAAGCGUUAUCCGGAAUUAUUGGGCGUAAAGAGCUCGUAGGCGGUUUGUCGCGUCUGCUGUGAAACCCCGAGGCUCAACCUCGGGUCUGCAGUGGGUACGGGUAGACUAGAGUGCGGUAGGGGAGAUUGGAAUUCCUGGUGUAGCGGUGGAAUGCGCAGAUAUCAGGAGGAACACCAAUGGCGAAGGCAGAUCUCUGGGCCGUAACUGACGCUGAGGAGCGAAAGCAUGGGGAGCGAACAGG